This is a long non-coding RNA of Sycon ciliatum, 2446 nucleotides long. RefSeq lists it as uncharacterized. The record is from RefSeq and is a predicted model, not a curated record. Lineage: Eukaryota; Metazoa; Porifera; Calcarea; Leucosolenida; Sycettidae. The transcript is spliced from 3 exons.
UGCAUAAACAAGUGCCGGAUUAGAGAGGGACUGUAUCUUUUCAAACGAAUCCUGAUGACAAUGAGUGAUAUUUGUGGAUACUCGACAACAUUCCAGUGCAGUAAUACUCAGCAGAGAUCUGUAUGCAGGACGGCGCACUGCGGCACUGGUUGCUUAGCUUAGUCAGCGGCUGGAACUGGAGACCGUCGAUGAGUGAAAGUGCAGACCGUGGCGUCCGCGAUCCAAACUCUGGGAGAGUUUACUAGUAGUCUUCAGAGGUGCAUUCCCAGCGUGCUGUGAGCUGCAUCAGGGUGGAUGGCGCGCACAUGGACUCACUGCUGCACACUACCCGUGACAGGGACAACGAACACGAUCGACUCUGAUGUAGACUACUAUUCCGACUCCGGUAGGUCAACCGUCUCCAGGCGUACUAAGAUCAUGAAGGCCAGAGAAUCACCAAAACCUUUCAAGCAAACGGUCAGCAAAUGAAUGAAGUGCAAUGAUGGGAUGGAAGCAAGGACGUGAAGACCAGACUUUGCUGGACAGCUAGAAGACGUGUUAUGACCAAUGCCGUAAUACAGCCGAGUAGUACACUGUCAGUGGCCAGGUCUCACACCGAGGAGCAGUACAAGCAAGCAUGGACUGAUUGUCAGUGUUCAAGUACAGGGAAUCACCAUGCAACACAGAACAUGCAGUUUGUCCACCAACAAGUGCAAUGUCAACUGAUAGCCGAGUAGCAAGACGGAUAUGUGGACGUCAGUGCAGAACGCCUUUGUGAUGGGCAAUGUAGCCUUGCAAUUGCAGCUGGUGGUGCUGGUGGUUGGAGGCAGGGUAGUCCCAGCAGAGUAGAUCAUGCGAAGAUCGAGUCUUGCUCAUCCUCCGGGUGGAUACCUGGCAGUGCAAGAAAGCUCCUUGGCACAUCACACAAUGUGGGUCACAAGAAUGACGCUCAGCAGAAAUAAAUCCAUAUGCUGCCACUUUCUCUUGCUGGUUGUGCUGCUGCAAGUAUCAACCGGUUGUGAACUGUUUUUCCUCUCGCCCUCUCCUCAUCAAAUAAUUGUUUUAUUGUGAACUAGCCUCUAGCGUGGCAGGUUAGCAUCCCUCUGCUCUUGUGGCUCACAACCAGCAUCACCCACUCCCGACUUUCUGUCUGUCUUUUCCUCACACUGUGUCUGUCCGUCUGUCUGUCUGUCCGUCUGUCCGUCCGUCUGCCUCUCUCUCUCUCUCUCUCUCUCUCUCUCUCUCCCUCUCCCUCUCUGUCUCUCUCUUUCCCUCUCUCUCUCUGCUGGUCUGUGUGUGUGUGUCUCUCUCUUCUCUCUCUCUCUCUCUUUCUCUCUCUCUCUCUCUCUCUCUCUCUCUCUCUCUCUCUCUCUCUCUCUCUCUCUUUCUCUCUAUCCCUCUAUCUUUCCCUCCCUCUCUCGCUCUAUCUAUCCCUCCCUUUCUCGAUCUUUCUCUCUAUCCCUCCGUCCCUCUCUCGAAAUCCUAGAAUAAGUCUCCCAGUAUGAUAGUAGGGAGGUUUAGUCCCACGUAAUCCGUGGGUACUUUACGUGUGUGUACCACGUGAUACUCAGUGACCCGCGUACAGACGUUUUCUGAUUCACGACAUAUCGUGUAUGGAGGCUCACCCACGUUCCGCCAGAACGUGGGUGAAAAUCAGAAUGGAGCGCAUUGUGCGAGCUGUGAGGGUGCUCAGCUGAAGAAGUUUCCGAAGCACGAAAUCAAAAUAUUGGAUGAGCUUCUUAGGCCGGGGUAGCUUCGUCUUUGACCAGGUUUUGGCCUUUAGCUUCUUGCUUUUGUUUGUUCCGUGUGACUAAACACAACAUUGCAACGUGGGUGCCCUUCAUCCACUUUACGUGGAUCACCCACGUACGCGUUUCCGUUACGUGGGAACUAAACCUCCCUAGUGUCCUGUAGCUAUGCGGUCUGUCUGAUGUUUCUGUAGGAGUUGCAUUUUGGUAUAAAGUAUAUUUUUCACAGUAAAAGAGUAUUUAUUUGUAGAGCUUGUGUGGAUACAGAUCCCUAGGUUCAAACCCCAAGAUGGGCAGUUAGUUACAUUUUUCUCUCCUUGCGUAUUUGUAUCUGCAUGUUAUUACCCUUGCCGUGAGUCGCUCGUGAGUCGUGUAUGGCUAAACCCGUAUUUCCCCACUUUACCCGUAUGACUGUCUGUUGUGAACUGUGAUUGGUUGCUAGUAUAAUGUUCCAGAAUGUUCCAGAGCUGUGAACUGUGAUUGGUUAAUCAUGCUAAUGUUUCUAGAAUUUCGUCGGCGACUGGUUUUCGUAGAUUGCUGAUUGGUUAAUGACCUAAAACAUGGCUGCCGGUUGCCGGACUUUUGUUCCCUUGCUUUCUUUUUUCUUGUUGCCUUUCUAUCUCUUUGCAUUCCAAGUGUGUAUAAUAUUUCUUUCCUGAUAACUUCUAUAUCUCUGUUCAAAUUGUCUGUUGGUUGGCGGAGUUGGCAGAAACGUUUGA